RNAcentral lists this ribosomal RNA (254 nucleotides) under uncultured bacterium. RNAcentral describes it as "partial 16S ribosomal RNA". It matches the Rfam family "Bacterial small subunit ribosomal RNA", at positions 524 to 776 of the family's 1533-position model. The record is from RNAcentral.
UACGUAGGGGGCAAGCGUUGUUCGGAUUUACUGGGCGUAAAGGGCGCGUAGGCGGCCAGCACAAGUCAGUUGUGAAAUCUCCGAGCUUAACUCGGAACGGUCAACUGAUACUGUGCGGCUAGAGUGCAGAAGGGGCAACUGGAAUUCUUGGUGUAGCGGUGAAAUGCGUAGAUAUCAAGAGGAACACCUGCGGCGAAGGCGGGUUGCUGGGCUGACACUGACGCUGAGGCGCGAAAGCUAGGGGAGCGAACGGG